This 253-nucleotide ribosomal RNA is filed under the name uncultured bacterium. RNAcentral's name for it is "partial 16S ribosomal RNA". It matches the Rfam family "Bacterial small subunit ribosomal RNA", at positions 524 to 776 of the family's 1533-position model. The record is from RNAcentral.
UACGAAGGGUGCAAGCGUUACUCGGAAUUACUGGGCGUAAAGGGUGCGUAGGUGGUUUUUUAAGUCCGUUGUGAAAUCCCUGGGCUCAACCUGGGAAUGGCAGUGGAUACUGGAAAGCUAGAGUGCGGUAGAGGGUAGUGGAAUUCCCGGUGUAGCAGUGAAAUGCGUAGAGAUCGGGAGGAACACCAGUGGCGAAGGCGGUUCUCUGGGACGGUACUGACGCUGAGACGCGAAAGCGUGGGGAGCGAACAGG